This 445-nucleotide ribosomal RNA is filed under the name uncultured bacterium. RNAcentral's name for it is "partial 16S ribosomal RNA". It matches the Rfam family "Bacterial small subunit ribosomal RNA", at positions 354 to 796 of the family's 1533-position model. The record is from RNAcentral.
GUGAGGAAUAUUGGUCAAUGGACGAGAGUCUGAACCAGCCAAGUCGCGUGAAGGAAGACGGUUCUAUGAAUUGUAAACUUCUUUUGUGCAGGAAUAAAGUGGGUUACGUGUAACCUUUUGUAUGUACUGUACGAAUAAGGAUCGGCUAACUCCGUGCCAGCAGCCGCGGUAAUACGGAGGAUCCGAGCGUUAUCCGGAUUUAUUGGGUUUAAAGGGUGCGGAGGUGGAUUGAUAAGUCAGCGGUGAAAGUUUGAAGCUUAACUGUAAAAUUGCCGUUGAAACUGUCGGUCUUGAGUGCAAAUGAGGUAGGCGGAAUGUGUUGUGUAGCGGUGAAAUGCUUAGAUAUAACACAGAACUCCGAUUGCGAAGGCAGCUUACUGGGAUGCAACUGACACUGAUGCACGAAAGCGUGGGUAUCAAACAGGAUUAGAAACCCGGGUAGUCC